GGUACCGGAAGAAUAAGCACCGGCUAACUACGUGCCAGCAGCCGCGGUAAUACGUAGGGUGCGAGCGUUAAUCGGAAUUACUGGGCGUAAAGCGUGCGCAGGCGGUUUGAUAAGACAGGCGUGAAAUCCCCGAGCUCAACUUGGGAAUGGCGCUUGUGACUGUCAGGCUAGAGUAUGUCAGAGGGGGGUAGAAUUCCACGUGUAGCAGUGAAAUGCGUAGAGAUGUGGAGGAAUACCGAUGGCGAAGGCAGCCCCCUGGGACGUGACUGACGCUCAUGCACGAAAGCGUGGGGAGCAAACAGGAUUAGAUACCCUGGUAGUCCACGCCCUAAACGAUGUCAACUAGUUGUUGGGGAUUCAUUCUUCAGUAACGUAGCUAACGCG
This 384-nucleotide ribosomal RNA is filed under the name Cupriavidus sp. Its description in RNAcentral is "bacterial SSU rRNA". It matches the Rfam family "Bacterial small subunit ribosomal RNA", at positions 474 to 859 of the family's 1533-position model. Lineage: Bacteria; Pseudomonadati; Pseudomonadota; Betaproteobacteria; Burkholderiales; Burkholderiaceae. The record is from RNAcentral.